UCCCUGGUGGUCUAGCGGUAAGGAUUCUGCGUUUUCACUGCUGAAGGUCUGGGUUCCAUCCCUAGUCAGGGAA
This 73-nucleotide transfer RNA is filed under the name Bos taurus (domestic cattle). It matches the Rfam family "tRNA". From Rfam's summary of the family: Transfer RNA (tRNA) molecules are approximately 80 nucleotides in length. Their secondary structure includes four short double-helical elements and three loops (D, anti-codon, and T loops). RNAcentral also lists the same sequence under 5 other names. The record is from Rfam by way of RNAcentral. Lineage: Eukaryota; Metazoa; Chordata; Mammalia; Artiodactyla; Bovidae.